AGCAUCCGCGGUAAUUCCAGCUCCAAUAGCGUAUAUUAAAGUUGUUGCAGUUAAAAAGCUCGUAGUUGAAUUUCGGGAUCAAUAUUUCGGUCAUGCCGUUGGUAUGCACUGUUAUCAUUGAUUUCUCACCUUCUAAAGAACCGUAAUGCCAUUAAUUUGGUGUUACGGGGAAUUAGGACUGUUACCUUGAAAAAAUUAGAGUGUUUAAAGCAGGCUCACGCUUGAAUACAUUAGCAUGGAAUAAUGAAAUAGGACAUCCGAUUCUAUUUUGUUGGUUUCUAGGAUCGAUGUAAUGAUUAAUAGGGAUAGUUGGGGGCAUUAGUAUUCAAUUGUCAGAGGUGAAAUUCUUGGAUUUAU
This 357-nucleotide ribosomal RNA is filed under the name uncultured Funneliformis. Its description in RNAcentral is "SSU rRNA". It matches the Rfam family "Eukaryotic small subunit ribosomal RNA", at positions 569 to 929 of the family's 1831-position model. Lineage: Eukaryota; Fungi; Glomeromycota; Glomeromycetes; Glomerales; Glomeraceae. The record is from RNAcentral.